UGCCCGCGCAGCUGGGAGGGGAGGAGAAAGUAGGCGAGAGGAGCACGCGAGCGGCGGCCGCUGGGGCCUGUCUUCGCCUGAGCUUUGAGGCCUGGGUUUGGAACAGGUGACCAGGCCUGGAUCUUCCGCGGCCGGGUGGUGAGACCCACCUCCAGCCUUUAGUGUCCUGGACGAGCUUCUGCCUUUUGAGAAACCCCUUCUCUUCUUUCCUUCUCACCACAGCAUCAGCGAGCAAAGCUGUGGGGAGGCAGGACUUGGCGCGAUCUAAGGAUGCAGUUUUCAAGUCAGAACCGCCCAACAGCCGAGUAACUUCCGUUUGCACGGUGCUUUGGAGAGCUUUCCACUGGGUGAAAUCCUCGCGCAGACCUCUGAGGUUCAGAGAGGUUACGAUGGUUUUUGCCUAGGAAGUAGUGGAAGGACGCAGGGCUUUCCUACAACACGCAGCACCUCCCAGCAGAUGUUCUGAUACCCUGGUGGACAUUAGCUAGUGACUUAGGUAGGAAUGAGGGCUAGGCCAGAGAGUCUUCCAGCCUUAGGACAGUGAUUGGUGUGUGGGUAGCUCGUCACUCCCGCCCCCUCCUCCGGGGUUCAUCUCUAUUAAAAUCUGAGCUGUAUGUGCAGUUUGAAAAACAAAGCAUAUUCAGCGUCACUAUUUAAUACUUUGAAAUGCAUAAAAUAUUUUUGUAGAAACAAUGGAAAAUAAAUCGGAAGAUUUUUGAUUAGAUGGCUGUGAGGUGGUCAUGCCCUUCCCAGGAGAAAGGGCAAUACUUUUUUUUUUUUUUUUUUUUUAAAUGGAAAGUAGGAAAGGUAUUAGCUGCUGGAAGCAUUCUUUUUUUUAUUCCAUAUACUGCCCCCCCAGCACAUGGAAGUUCCAGGGCCAAGGAUCAAAUCCGAGCUGCAGCUGCAACCUACACCAUGGCUGUGGCAAAGCUGGGUUUUUAACUCUCCUGGGAGCAUUCUUGUAGGGUACUGUGGAACAAGGAAAAUGCCUCCUCUGGUGGCUUAGCUGGCAGGCAGGGUUGGCUUCAUGGGGCCCCGGCAGGGUUUCCCUUCCCCUCUCUGGAGGAGCUGAUGUCGCAGCUGUCACUAGGUGUGAGGCUAGGCUUAUGGGUCUGGCUGUGCACAGCAGGUUUAGGACGGCCCGGCAGGGGAUGCUCAGAACCUAGGGCUGGCAUGAGUUAAUAUUAGCAUGAAUCAGUGAAUCAGAAUGUUAGCAGUGGAAGGGAUCUGGCUUUACAGAUGGAGAAAAUGAGACCCAGGGAGGAGAAGGGCUUAAGGUCACAUGGGAAAUUUAAAAUCACAGCCAGAACUAGGACUCAGACCUUGUCAUGACUGGCUUGGGGGCCUUCCCUCUAUACCAUGGGUCCCGAAGGAAUUUCAGACGUCGAGUCUGUGCACGCAUCAGCAGAAAUCAAGUGUGGCACACAGGGGAGACAGGAAAAAGAGAAAUGAGAUGGGGCUUUGCGCCUCUGACGUGGGCCCCUGCACUCAGGAGCAGUCGGGGGGCUGGGCAGCAGGCACGGGGAAGGCCUUCAGGCAGUAACGUGAUGCCUGUUCUGGCCACCUGUUUGCAUGUGGGGUGGGAGAUAUGUUUUUCAGUCUCUUCCUCACCUCCUACUCCGUAACGGUUGAUUUAAGUCCCCAAACCAGGCAGUGAUAUUCUGCACUUGCCAACCCAGUUCCUUUUCCAAGUUUGUGUUGGCACUCAAGUUAAAAAGCUAUUCCUUUAUUUCCUCCCCUCUCCCACCAAAAAUAAAUAAAAGGGCCCGGAUGGCGUGAGGCUCCUGCAGAAGCGUGGCAGGUUUGCUGACACUGAACUCUGAGCUCUUACCAUGAGAACGCCGGCCCCCAGAGUGGUAUGAAGAGUAUUAUUCUAUAAAUGGAAAAUUCCACUCUGUGCUCAUAGCCCGGCAGCCUGCAUACUUUCAAGGUAUGCAGGCUUUUCAAGCUCUGAAGGCUGGGAGCUGCCAUUCUGAGAAAAACUUCUGCAAGGAAACUUUAAAGCUGCCAGCUGCUGGGUCCAGUCCCCCUUGGCCAGGCCAAGAAGAGGAUGGCAAAUAGACGAGGCCUUCUCUCCUCCCCGACAUGAUUUUUUUGGCCCUUGUGGUUUUGCAAAAGAAAUAAACAAGCUUAAGUGAACACAAAUAGGAACAAAUGCCUUGAUUCGGAGCUGCAGCCUGGGGAUCACAUGCUGGGCCUCCGUAUACUGAGAGCCUUUGCUGUCAGUGACCACAGAAAGGCUGGAGUGGGCGCCCGGGCCAGCACUAGGCUCAAUCAACAGUUACUUUUGUCAUCAAGCACGGGCCUCAGGAGUCUGGAGUGAAAUGGGCAGAAAGAGCCAGAAUAUGAAAACUUCUUCGAGGGACGCCUUCAGAUUGAUGGAGGCAGGAAGACAGAUCAGGCCGGACCUCAUCUCCGAGGAGAGAAGUUGAGCUCCAGUCCUUCUAUUCCUCCAUCUUAAUCCAAGAUCGCAGGAGUUGUUGCUGAACAAGGAUGAGACCCAGAUGUCCCAGCUCCAAUCCUGGCAAAGGAGGACCCAGGGCAGCGUCCGCUGUCCUUAGAUAUUUGCAUGGCUGGGAGAAGCCACAGAAAUUGGCUGGAGAAUGUUUGCAGACCUGGGUCAUCAUCUGAACCAUUUGCUGAGCUCUAAAAACAGGGAUCCCUGGGCUACCAUUCUUUGGAGGAACUAAUGAGCCGUGAAUGCCUCUCCGCUCUGCCAGCUUCAUGCCACCUCAUGACUGCUGCCACCUGCUCAAGAAGAUGGAGGCCUGGAGUUCCCAUCAUGGCUCAGUGGUAAUGAACCCAACUAGUAUCCAUGAGGACAUGGGUCAAUCUCUGGUCUCGCUCAGU
Molecule: non-coding RNA, 2850 nt
Organism: Sus scrofa (pig)
Lineage: Eukaryota; Metazoa; Chordata; Mammalia; Artiodactyla; Suidae
Source: RefSeq, a predicted model, not a curated record